Molecule: long non-coding RNA, 262 nt
Organism: Sinocyclocheilus rhinocerous
Lineage: Eukaryota; Metazoa; Chordata; Actinopteri; Cypriniformes; Cyprinidae
Exons: 4
Source: RefSeq, a predicted model, not a curated record
AAGAACCUGAGCUGGGUCUGGAUUUAGUGCGACAGGUUAGUUUUACCCUACUGAUGUACCGUCGUUGCAAUAGUAAUCCUGCUCAGUACGAGAGGAACCGCAGGUUCAGACAUUUGGUGCGUGUGCUUGGCUGAGGAGCCACUGGUGCGAAGCUACCAUCUGUGGGAUUAUGACUGAACGCCUCUAAGUCAGAAUCCCGCCUAAACGUAACGAUACCCCGGGUAGAUGUAAAUACACAGUACUCCUGUUCAUUACGAGAGGA